RNAcentral lists this ribosomal RNA (494 nucleotides) under uncultured bacterium. Its description in RNAcentral is "bacterial SSU rRNA". It matches the Rfam family "Bacterial small subunit ribosomal RNA", at positions 338 to 830 of the family's 1533-position model. The record is from RNAcentral.
CCUACGGGAGGCAGCAGUAAGGAAUAUUGGACAAUGGACGCAAGUCUGAUCCAGCCAUGCCGCGUGAAGGAUUAAGGCCCUCUGGGUUGUAAACUUCUUUUAUAGGGGACGAAAAAAGGGCUUUCUAGCUCGACUGACGGUACCCUAUGAAUAAGCACCGGCUAACUCCGUGCCAGCAGCCGCGGUAAUACGGAGGGUGCAAGCGUUAUCCGGAUUCACUGGGUUUAAAGGGUGCGUAGGCGGGCAGUUAAGUCAGUGGUGAAAUCUCUGGGCUCAACCCCGGAAACUGCCAUUGAUACUAUCUGUCUUGAAUAUUGUGGAGGCGAGCGGAAUAUGUCAUGUAGCGGUGAAAUGCUUAGAUAUGACAUAGAACACCGAUUGCGUAGGCAGCUCGCUACACAUAUAUUGACGCUGAGCACGAAGACGUGGAGUACAACAGAUAGAUACCUACGUAGUACACCGACCCUAACCUACUAGUAUUACUCGUACAUAUG